This 241-nucleotide long non-coding RNA is filed under the name Vigna radiata. RNAcentral's name for it is "long non-coding RNA (VRAD_LNC003323)". The record is from RNAcentral. Lineage: Eukaryota; Viridiplantae; Streptophyta; Magnoliopsida; Fabales; Fabaceae.
ACCUACCUCUUACCCUUGACUUAUAUUUAUAGUUUUCUUCAUGGGCCGAUGAUUAGUGAAAUCUUAAUUACGGCCCAGUCAUAGGUCCACCAUGGUUGAUUUGGUUUUACCUUCUUGUCAUAUUUUAAUCUGCAACCUCCAUUGGACGCCCGUUCCGCCAGAGAGCUUUGGCGAGAAACUAGUCCAACUUGAGAUCAGACUCUACCAUCUGCGUGACCGUCCGUCUUGCGCGCUAUACAUG